UCACUAUUAGAAAUUAUAUCUGAUCUACCAUGGUCAUCAAUUUGUAAGUCAUGUUCUAUCUUUGUUGCUAUUAAAUCGUCUUUAUGUCUCUACAAUUCUACAACUCUGAUUUCUUUUGGUAGAAAUGCCUUUACCUCACCGCCUCUUCUAAAUUGUCAUGCCGUUGUCGUAUUACGUGAAGUCUUGCUUGAGAAUGCACCGAGCACCUGGCUGUAGAAGGUAAAAGAAAAUUACAACAAAGGGUCCUAACAAUCUAAUAGGAUUAUAGAGAAUUUAGAAUUAAACGUUAACAAUCAUAAUCAAAUAUUAAGCAAGCUCAAUUAAACUUUAUUGGAGUUAUAAAAGAAACAUAAGGAAAUCUUAAAGAAAUAUAAAAGAAUAUUAACGAAAACUUAGUCAAACCCUAACAAAAAUCUAAUAGAACCUUAAAUUCUAACCAAAUUCUAAUCCUAAUCCAACCUUAAUCAAAUCCUAGACAAAUCCUAAAUCCUAAACUAAAUCCUAAUCAAACCUUAAUCCCUAAUCAAAUCCUAAUCCAAAUCCUAAACCCUAAACCAAAUCCUAUCAAAAUCCUAAACCCUAAACCAAAUCCUAUCCAAAUCCUAAACCUUAAACCAAACCCUAAUCUAAAUCCUAAAUCCUAAACCAAAUCCUAAUCCAAACCCUAAAUCC
Molecule: long non-coding RNA, 672 nt
Filed under: Physcomitrium patens
Lineage: Eukaryota; Viridiplantae; Streptophyta; Bryopsida; Funariales; Funariaceae
Description: long non-coding RNA (PPAT_LNC000962)
Source: RNAcentral